GACGAACGCUGGCGGCGUGCUUAACACAUGCAAGUCGAACGGAAAGGCCCUGCUUGCAGGGUACUCGAGUGGCGAACGGGUGAGUAACACGUGGGUGAUCUGCCCUGCACUUCGGGAUAAGCCUGGGAAACUGGGUCUAAUACCGGAUAGGAGCCAUUUUUAGUGUGAUGGUUGGAAAGUUUUUUCGGUGUAGGAUGAGCUCGCGGCCUAUCAGCUUGUUGGUGGGGUAAUGGCCUACCAAGGCGGCGACGGGUAGCCGGCCUGAGAGGGUGGACGGCCACAUUGGGACUGAGAUACGGCCCAGACUCCUACGGGAGGCAGCAGUGGGGAAUAUUGCACAAUGGGCGCAAGCCUGAUGCAGCGACGCCGCGUGGGGGAUGACAGCCUUCGGGUUGUAAACUCCUUUCGCUAGGGACGAAGCUUUUGUGACGGUACCUAGAUAAGAAGCACCGGCUAACUACGUG
Molecule: ribosomal RNA, 464 nt
Filed under: uncultured bacterium
Lineage: Bacteria
Description: partial 16S ribosomal RNA
Rfam family: Bacterial small subunit ribosomal RNA
Source: RNAcentral